RNAcentral lists this long non-coding RNA (234 nucleotides) under Nicotiana benthamiana. Its description in RNAcentral is "long non-coding RNA (NBEN_LNC007033)". The record is from RNAcentral. Lineage: Eukaryota; Viridiplantae; Streptophyta; Magnoliopsida; Solanales; Solanaceae.
GUCAUAACUCACAAGUUUAAAGUUUAAAGUUUUAACUUUAAAAUUGACCGUGACAUUGGAUCCUCGAUGUGCAAUUUUCAAAGUCUUCUAGAUGAAGCAUUUUGUUCAUUAGCUAUUAACUUAUUGUAGCAGGAAUAGUUACCAUGCAGUGCAGCAUCUGAUAGUAUAUUCUCUGGCCGACUCGGACUGCACUUUCACUAUUAAGUAAGGCUGUACCAUGUAACGGUUUCGAAU